UUAACACUCUUUAAACAAAAUGAUACUUUAAUUUAUAGUAGAAGGAGCGGAAAAGUUUGAAUUCGAAACACAAUGCAACAAACGAAAGACCCUAACCACCAUAAUAAUUAACCGCUUGCUAACAUCCUUUAACUGCUUCCACCAUUGAGCAAGUGCAGAAAAAGUAUUAAAAGUUCUUAUUUCAGAAGCCAACCUUUUUCUAAGAAACGAAAGAGCAAUCAAUCUUUCUGUAUUAUAAUAAAAUUGCAGGUGGAGCAAGUAAAGUGAACGAGCGAGGACUUUAGUUUAUUUAAGUCGCUGCUUUUUUGACAUUACAAGAUAGAUAUGGCAUAACCUUGACAACCAGUGGCGUGUAUAGUUCAUCAGCAUGCUCCCUCUCACGUGACCCCCAUGUCCACGGUCAGAUUCCUGACACGUGGGGAGCUUACAGGCCGCCUCCUGAGCUCAACCGAGUGAUCUGGUUGGACAUGAUUGUUCAUCAUCAUCUCUUUCUGUCUCAGUCUUUUAAGCUUUAGUUCCGGGCUUCACAGAAUCUUUCAGGUAAUCUGUUGCUUAGUUUGGAAAAAUCAAGGGCACACCCCAGACCAAUAGCCCAAGAGAGACUCUUUAGCUUCAAAUCAAAUGGGAUACAUAAUUGUCGUAUCAGCGCCGGUUAUACUGUUCAUAUUGAUUGUAGCCCUUGCAUUUUACCUCCUUGGUAGGGCGACGGGCGAAGGCAAUCAUCUACUGCUCCACAGUAUUUUGGGCCUCGGGUGCCUCCACCCCAAGAGAAGUCCGCCGUGGUCCAGACGUAUUAUACUCGGCUCAGUUCUUUUUUCACAAUUUAACAUGUAUUUUAACGAGUAUACAUUUGUGUAUAAGUCAACCCAUGAAUAUAAGGAGGAACGAGAUCCAUUUUGAGAGUGCUAAGUUAUGCAUGACUCAUGUCAAGGUUAGGAUUCGUACAUGUUCUAAAGAAUCUACCUCUUACGUCAAGUGCUCCUAUUUUUGAGACUUUAGGUCUUUUUCCUUUGUUGUCUACUGACCACGUUUCAUCCCUAUUGUAUGGAAACCUCCUAUGCUGGGGUGGACCAAGGUAAAUACUAAUGGGUCAUUCAAGUCUA
Molecule: long non-coding RNA, 1103 nt
Organism: Pyrus x bretschneideri (Chinese white pear)
Lineage: Eukaryota; Viridiplantae; Streptophyta; Magnoliopsida; Rosales; Rosaceae
Exons: 2
Source: RefSeq, a predicted model, not a curated record